RNAcentral lists this ribosomal RNA (100 nucleotides) under Caerostris darwini. Lineage: Eukaryota; Metazoa; Arthropoda; Arachnida; Araneae; Araneidae. The record is from RNAcentral.
AACGGCCGUACCAUGCUGAAUAUACCGGUUCUCGUUAGAUCACCGAAGUUAAGCAUCAUUGGGCGCGGUCAGUACUUGGGUGGGUGACCACCUGGGAAUU